This 253-nucleotide ribosomal RNA is filed under the name uncultured bacterium. RNAcentral's name for it is "partial 16S ribosomal RNA". It matches the Rfam family "Archaeal small subunit ribosomal RNA", at positions 474 to 727 of the family's 1478-position model. The record is from RNAcentral.
UACCAGCACCCCGAGUGGUCGGGACGAUUAUUGGGCCUAAAGCAUCCGUAGCCGGUCCUGCAAGUCUUCCGUUAAAUCCAGCUGCUCAACAGAUGGGCUGCGGGGGAUACUACAUGGCUAGGAGGCGGGAGAGGCAAGCGGUACUUUAUGGGUAGGGGUAAAAUCCGUUGAUCCAUAGAAGACCACCAGUGGCGAAGGCGGCUUGCCAGGACGCGGUCGACGGUGAGGGAUGAAAGCUGGGGGAGCAAACGGG